GUCUAUACCACCCUGAACAUGCCUGAUCUGAUCUCAGAAGCUAAGCAGGGUCAGGCCUGGUUAGUACUUGGAUGGGAGACCCUUUAAUGGUUUUGUGUAUGGACA
Molecule: ribosomal RNA, 105 nt
Filed under: Microcebus murinus (gray mouse lemur)
Lineage: Eukaryota; Metazoa; Chordata; Mammalia; Primates; Cheirogaleidae
Source: RNAcentral